Molecule: transfer RNA, 59 nt
Filed under: Millerozyma farinosa
Lineage: Eukaryota; Fungi; Ascomycota; Pichiomycetes; Serinales; Debaryomycetaceae
Description: partial transfer RNA
Source: RNAcentral
GUGAGGAUCGAACUCACGAUCUUGCGAUUAACAGUCGCACGCCUUAACCAGCUUGGCCA